GAACCGGACGAACGUUAUUCGGAAUCACUGGGCUUAAAGAGUCCGUAGGCGGCUUGGGUAGGUGAGGUGUGAAAUCCCACGGGCUCAACCGUGGAAUUGCGCUUCAAACCACCAGGCUUGAGGGAGAUAGAGGAAAGCGGAACAGAUGGUGGAGCGGUGAAAUGCGUUGAUAUCAUCUGGAACACCGGUGGCGAAGGCGGCUUUCUGGGUCUCUUCUGACGCUGAGGGACGAAAGCUAGGGUAGCGAACGGGAUUAGAUACCCCGGUAGUCCUAGCUGUAAACGAUGAGCACUGGGUUGAAGGGACUUCCACAUCCUUUCAGCCGUAGCGAAAGCGUUAAGUGCUCCGCCUGGGGAGUAUGGUCGCAAAGGCUG
This 374-nucleotide ribosomal RNA is filed under the name uncultured organism. RNAcentral describes it as "partial 16S ribosomal RNA". It matches the Rfam family "Bacterial small subunit ribosomal RNA", at positions 527 to 896 of the family's 1533-position model. The record is from RNAcentral.